GACGAACGCUGGCGGCGUGCUUAACACAUGCAAGUCGAACGGACAGGCCCUGAUUUUGUGGGGUUCUCGAGUGGCGAACGGGUGAGUAACACGUGUGUAACCUGCCCUUGACUUUGGGAUAACUUCAGGAAACUGGGGCUAAUACCGGAUAGGAUCUCCUGCUGCAUGGUGGGGGUUGGUAAGUUUCGGCGGUUGGGGAUGGACUGGCGGCUUAUCAGCUUGUUGGUGGGGUAGUUGCUUACCAAGGCUUUGACGGGUAGCCGGCCUGAGAGGGUGAACGGCCACAUGGGGACUGAGGUAGGGACCAGACGCCUACGGGAGGCAGCGGUGGGGAAUAUUGCACAAUGGGCGGAAGCCUGAUGCAGCAACGCCGGGUGCGGGAUGACGGCCUUCGGGUUGUGAACCGCUGUCGCCUGUGACGAAGCGUGAGUGACGGUAAUGGGUAAAGAAGCACCGGCUAACUACGUG
This 468-nucleotide ribosomal RNA is filed under the name uncultured bacterium. RNAcentral's name for it is "partial 16S ribosomal RNA". It matches the Rfam family "Bacterial small subunit ribosomal RNA", at positions 28 to 507 of the family's 1533-position model. The record is from RNAcentral.